RNAcentral lists this transfer RNA (86 nucleotides) under Herpetosiphonaceae bacterium. Its description in RNAcentral is "tRNA-Ser". It matches the Rfam family "tRNA". From Rfam's summary of the family: Transfer RNA (tRNA) molecules are approximately 80 nucleotides in length. Their secondary structure includes four short double-helical elements and three loops (D, anti-codon, and T loops). Further hydrogen bonds mediate the characteristic L-shaped molecular structure. tRNAs have two regions of fundamental functional importance: the anti-codon, which is responsible for specific mRNA codon recognition, and the 3' end, to which the tRNAs corresponding amino acid is attached (by aminoacyl-tRNA synthetases). tRNAs cope with the degeneracy of the genetic code in two manners: having more than one tRNA (with a specific anti-codon) for a particular amino acid; and 'wobble' base-pairing, i.e. permitting non-standard base-pairing at the 3rd anti-codon position. The record is from RNAcentral. Lineage: Bacteria; Bacillati; Chloroflexota; Chloroflexia; Herpetosiphonales; Herpetosiphonaceae.
GGAGAAGUGACCGAGUGGUUUAAGGUAGAUGUCUUGAAAACAUCCGCACGCAAGUGCCGUGGGUUCGAAUCCCACCUUCUCCUCCA